This 63-nucleotide transfer RNA is filed under the name Epeorus alexandri. Its description in RNAcentral is "tRNA-Cys". It matches the Rfam family "tRNA". From Rfam's summary of the family: Transfer RNA (tRNA) molecules are approximately 80 nucleotides in length. Their secondary structure includes four short double-helical elements and three loops (D, anti-codon, and T loops). Further hydrogen bonds mediate the characteristic L-shaped molecular structure. tRNAs have two regions of fundamental functional importance: the anti-codon, which is responsible for specific mRNA codon recognition, and the 3' end, to which the tRNAs corresponding amino acid is attached (by aminoacyl-tRNA synthetases). tRNAs cope with the degeneracy of the genetic code in two manners: having more than one tRNA (with a specific anti-codon) for a particular amino acid; and 'wobble' base-pairing, i.e. permitting non-standard base-pairing at the 3rd anti-codon position. Lineage: Eukaryota; Metazoa; Arthropoda; Insecta; Ephemeroptera; Heptageniidae. The record is from RNAcentral.
GGUCUUAUAGUCUAAGGAAGACGCUAGGCUGCAAUUCUAGAAAUGUAAAAUUUACUAAGGCUU